Molecule: long non-coding RNA, 338 nt
Filed under: Carica papaya (papaya)
Lineage: Eukaryota; Viridiplantae; Streptophyta; Magnoliopsida; Brassicales; Caricaceae
Description: long non-coding RNA (CPAP_LNC012029)
Source: RNAcentral
UCAUAGAUUGGGAAAAGAAAAGUACCCCUGCUUGGCGACAAAUGUCAAGGUAAUCGUCCAGGAUCCUAUACAUGAUUUUUCUCUCCACUUCUUUGAUUGUCCUGAGUUCAUAUUCUCCAAGUUCGUCCACCAGAAAAUUCUCAUUAACUACCACAAUCGCAAGAGCUACCCGAUUCCUGGUUACAAAGUUGUUGCAACUAGCCAUUGUGAGGAAUUCAAUUCUUACAGGUAAAUGCUCAAUACCCAAGUCAGCUUACAAAGUUGAUCAUGAUUUCGUGCUUUCUGGGUCGUCUCAGACCUUGCGAUUCACUCUUAAUUUCCAAAAUAAAAAUAUAUUG